Molecule: ribosomal RNA, 472 nt
Filed under: uncultured bacterium
Lineage: Bacteria
Description: partial 16S ribosomal RNA
Rfam family: Bacterial small subunit ribosomal RNA
Source: RNAcentral
GACGAACGCUGGCGGCGUGCUUAACACAUGCAAGUCGAACGCUGAAGCUUGGUGCUUGCACUGGGUGGAUGAGUGGCGAACGGGUGAGUAAUACGUGAGUAACCUGCCAUUGACUCUGGGAUAAGCCUGGGAAACUGGGUCUAAUACUGGAUACGACAUGUCACCGCAUGGUGGUGUGUGGAAAGGGUUUUACUGGUUUUGGAUGGGCUCACGGCCUAUCAGCUUGUUGGUGGGGUAAUGGCUCACCAAGGCGACGACGGGUAGCCGGCCUGAGAGGGUGACCGGCCACACUGGGACUGAGACACGGCCCAGACUCCUACGGGAGGCAGCUGUGGGGAAUAUUGCACAAUGGGCGAAAGCCUGAUGCAGCGACGCCGCGUGAGGGAUGACGGCCUUCGGGUUGUAAACCUCUUUCAGCACGGAAGAAGCGAAAGUGACGGUACGUGCAGAAGAAGCGCCGGCUAACUACGUG